Molecule: ribosomal RNA, 253 nt
Filed under: uncultured bacterium
Lineage: Bacteria
Description: partial 16S ribosomal RNA
Rfam family: Bacterial small subunit ribosomal RNA
Source: RNAcentral
UACGUAGGCAGCAAGCGUUGUUCGGAGUUACUGGGCGUAAAGGGUGUGUAGGCGGUUCUUUAAGUUUGGUGUGAAAUCUCCCGGCUCAACUGGGAGGGUGCGCCGAAUACUGAGGGACUAGAGUACGGGAGAGGAAAGUGGAAUUCCUGGUGUAGCGGUGAAAUGCGCAGAUAUCAGGAAGAACACCCGUGGCGAAAGCGGUUCUCUGGGACGGUACUGACGCUGAGACGCGAAAGCGUGGGGAGCGAACAGG